This 4793-nucleotide long non-coding RNA is filed under the name Sus scrofa (pig). RNAcentral's name for it is "lncRNA (ENSSSCG00000056709.1)". Lineage: Eukaryota; Metazoa; Chordata; Mammalia; Artiodactyla; Suidae. The record is from RNAcentral.
CUUUGCUGUUUUCUUUUUUAAAAGAAAGAAAUUAAAUCGUGAAUGAAAGAAGUCAGAGUUCUCUGUCAAAUUUUCCCGGAAGGGCAUUGCUUUGUUUUUGUUUUGUCUUCUUUGCUUUGCCUUUCUCCUGUAGUUUAUUCCUCAGAUGCUUUUUUUUUUUUCUUUUGGUUCCUUUUUAGGGCCAUGCCUGCAGCAUAUGAAAGAAAGUUCCCAGGCUAGGGGUCGAAUCAGAGCUGCAGCUACCAGACUAUGCCACAGCUCACAGCAACCUAGAUCCUUAACCCACUGAGUGAGGCCAGGGAUUGAAUCCUCAUCCUCACGGAUACUAGCCAGGGUCUUAACCCGUUGAGCCACAAUGAAACCCCCCCACCCAGAUGCUUUUUAAUUGUUCACCACCUUCUAAGAUGCGUAUGAGAUUCUUUGGCCACUGUGGCAGGUCCAGGUUUAACGGAGGGGAUAGAAGGCUUGUCCUCCCCCAAGUCACCUUCAUUUAAUACCUCAAUCUCAGACAGUUGAAUCCAUGAGAAGUGAGAGGCUGCUGUGUCAUUUUGUGUUUUGUUUUGAUACACCCUUUUGGUUUCAGGCCCUUUACUGCCCUCUGACUUACAACCUUCAUUUAUACCCAUUCUUUACCAUGAAGGGGUUCCCAGUACAGCCCAGAGGCAGACAGAGAUGGGACCUCUAAGAGGGAUCGAGAUCUCUACCCAAGACCAGCCAUGGCAUCCAUGUGGCACCGACCAAUUUACAGUUUCUGCUAUUCAAAUAAAGUCUUUAUUUCAGGUUGAUUUUUCACAGUUUUGCGCUUCCCCCCCUGGAGUGUUUCUCUCUGUAAUACCACUGAAUCAAGUUUAAAUUUUAAUUAAAAUUUAGUCCGGUGGCAACCUGAUGUUUUAUUAAAUUUUAAUUUAGCCCAAGCCGGAUAAAGAGAUUUCUUCCGACAACAAAGGAACCCUGUUAACAGGGUUCAGUUAUGAUGAAGCAGAAUUUGUUGAAUUGCUAAGAGAUUCGGGUACGGGGAAGAAGUGAAGAGGAAGCACUUGAAUAAUUUUUAUUAAGCAGGGGAGCAGGGGUGUGUGACGUGAAGGCCAGAAUGAACUGGAGGAAGCACAGGUCAGAGGACCCCAGAUGAUCUAGACCCAAGUUUACACUUGCAAGUUCUCUGCCUUCCUCUGAAUUCGUUUCCUUCUGCUUCACGUCUCUUUCUCUGCCUCUAAGCAUCUUUGAGCAUCUGUCUUUUUUUGCUCUCUGUCAGUCUGUAGCUGGUUUACCUACAGCAGCUGUUUCCUCCUUGUUCGGCCUUCCCUUUCCUCUGUCCAGGGUCCUGAUCUGAGCAUCCCAGGCUCCUGAGUGCAGGAGGCCAAGCUGACCACACCAAGGAAUGAGGGAUGGCAGGGACUUGCUUGGGAUCAGGAGGAGGCUGCAAGGGCAAUGCUGCUUCCCUUCCCCAUCGGAAUAGACAUCUUGCUCAUGAGCAGAAAACACCCUCGCUGGGGAUAAUAUUUUCUGAAGUGCAUUCACAUACCACCUUCACAGUUCUUGCCAACUGCAUGUAACAUUAUGCCUUUAUAUACUGAUGAUUAUUUUUUUAAAUUAAUUCACCUCUUAUUUUUGAAUUGAGGUAGAGUUGGUCUGCUGUAUUAUGUAAGUUUCAGGUGUACUACAUAGUGAUUCACAAUUUUUAAAGGUUAUAUUCCAUUUAUAGUUACUAUAAGAUACUGGCUAUAUUCCCUGUGCUGUGUAAUAUAUCCUUGUAGCUUAUUUAUUUUAUACAUAGUAGUUUGUACCUCUUAUUCCUCCUCCACCCCUAACUUCCCUCUCCCUCCUUCCCUCUCCCCAUUGGUAACCACUUGUUUGUUCUCUGUAUCUGUGGGUUGACUUAUUUUUUGUUAUAGUCACUUGUUGUUGGUUUUUUUUUUUUUAGAUUCUACAUAUAAGUGAUAACAUAUAGUAUUUGUUUUUAUCUAUUUGACUUAUCUCACUAAGCAUAAGACCCUCCAAGUCCAUCCAUGUUGUUGCAAGUGAUAAAUUAAUUCACCUUUUAGGUGUAAAAAAAAAAAAAUCCCUAAAUUUAGCUACACUUCAAGUCUACACUCCAUGCAGACAUGAGUUUUAUGUGUGUAAUAUUUCAUAUACACUUUAAAAUGUUAAAAGUCAAAAGAACAAAAACGAAGACAAAUUCAACUAUGCAUUACCUAAAAUAAUUUUAAGUAUUACCAGUGUCAAAACUGGCAAUACUUAAUAGUUUGGCAAUACUUAAACUGGCAAUACUUAAUAGCUUCUUAGAGAGCACUUCUGCUUUUUGUUUGUUGGCUUGUUUUAAUUUUUAUUUUUCCUCUAAUUCUAUUUGGCCAGGCUUAUGAAUCUGCCAGAAUCCCUUCCGUGGCUCUGUCAUGCUAUUUGCAAGGGUCUGGUUGAACUCCAAAUCUAUUGUUUCUGGAUGUUUUUAACACAUUGGUUAGAGCUUUCCUUUUGCCCUUCAAAGAUCUGGGAAAAGUAUUAAAUUCUCAGGAUCAUCUGUCCUCCUAGAAGUUGUUAAAAGUAUCUCAAAUUCUGACCUAUUCAUUCAUUUUAGGAAAAUCACAACAGUUCUGAUUUCUGUUACCACAACUGAUCCAUCUGCUCUGAUAUAGCAGUGGAGCUGAGAUUCAGCUCAGUUGUAGUCAAACCCAAUCUUUAAAAUAGAAAUAGGUGUUCCCAUUAAGGUGCAGUGGAAAUGAAUCUGACUAGUAUCACGAGGACUCGAGUUUGAUCCCUGGCCCUGCUCAGUGGGUUAAAGAUCCGGUGGUGCCAUGAGCUGUGGUGCAGGCCAGCAGCUGUAGCUCCAAUUUGACCUCUAGGCUGGGAACUUCCAUUUGCCACACCUGUGGCUUAAAAAAGUAAAAAUAAAAUAAAAUAGAAAUAAAAGCCUAAUUGAAGCUUUUUUUCCUGCAAUAGAUCUGGGAGAGGUUUUCUUCUUGUUUCAACCUACUGUUCAGAAAGGAAGCGUUUGAAGACGGCUGCACCUUAAACCAGAGACAACUUUGAUAGCCAACAUGUGUAGAUGGUCCAUUUCAGACAGAACCCUUGAUUUCUGUCCCUCUUGAGAAGCUUAAGUUAGGUUCCCAUUCCUACCUGGUGACAACUCCCCUGGGACGGAGCAGCCACCGAGCCUGUUACACAGCACCUGUGGUUUCCAGUUACCCUCAGUCCCCAGCACACCCUCUUGUGUCUCCUGCCCAAAGGCUCAGGGCUGCAAGUCAUUUCACUUCCCACUUGUACUGCUUGUUUCCUGAUAAUAGAGUUCAUAGAAAAGUGGAAACUCAGUGUACCUGGUGUCUAUAAAAAUGGGGAAAAAAUGAAUAGCCCUCACUCUGCCACUCUGUCCUAGAAUUCUCUCUCUCUUUUUCUUUCUUUCUUUCUUUCUUUUUUCUUUUUUUUUUUUUUUUUUUUUUUUUUUUUUGCUAUUUUAGGGCCACACUCACAGCAUGUGGAAGUUCCCAGGCUAGGAGUUGAAUCGGAGCUGCAGCUGCUGGCCACAGCCACAGCCACAGCAACACCGGAUCUGAGCUGCCUCUAUGACCUACACCGAAGCCACGGCAAUGCUGGUUUCUUAACCCACUGAGCGAGGCCAGGGAUCAAACCCGCAUCCUCAUGGAUACUAGUUGGGUUCAUCACUGCUGAGCCACGACAGGAAUUCUUAGAAUUCUCUCUAAUUCCAGGUUACAAAAGUUGCACCGGGAAACUAGACCUUGCUCACCUAAAGGGUGGUCAGGGGCCAAGGGUCCUUGCAAUCAGAUUACCCAAGGAACAGCUGAAGGAAGUACACGUCCUUAACCAGGUGGGGGGAAAGAAAAAGAACCCAGGGGAGAGUGAUGGGGAGGCACGAGGGCUCUUUUCUUUUUUCCUUUUUUUUUUGGUCACACCUGUGGCAUGUGGAGGUUCCCAGGUUAGGAACCAAACCAGCAGCAACAAUGCUAGAUCCUUAACCAGUAGGCCACCAGGGAACUCCUGGAGGCUCUUUUUAAAUGCUAAAAGAACCGCUAUGUACAUAGUGGAGGGUAAUUGUUCUUUCUUUCUGGGUCUCUAAUGAAGGAACUAAAAGGAAACCAACUUCAGCUUGUUAUAAAGAAAUAGAGAUUUCAGAGUCAGUGUCUUCUGAUGGCUUAGGUUUUUAGACAUUGGUUCGAAUGUGACUUCAUUGCUUUCUAGCUGUUUGACCUUUGGCAAGUUAUGUUAACUCCUGAUAUCUUAACUUUGGACGUAUAAUGUGGAGGUGAUAAUGAUCUAGCGGUUUGUAACUUAUGCAGAGGUUAGUCUAAGUCAGAGAGCUUACGGCCAAAACUGCCAAUAAUCGUAAUGAACCUUUGAAAUUCCUUCAAUUAAACUUAAAUCACAAGGACUUGGGCUCUUUGAAACUCAAAAUCCAACAGCUAAUUUCUUUUCUCUCCUCGCACUGGGCUGUUGCUUUAUUUCCUUGGGCCUUCAUAGGUCAAAGUUUAGUUUAAAAGGAGGAAGCACAGGUAAGUUUUUUUUUUUUUUUUCUCACUUUCUUUUAUUCUCAGCAUACUUAGUUGAAUUGUCACAUGUUACAUGUGAGAAUAAGGCAUGCAUUUAAUGCCAUUGGGGGGAGAAUAAAGUAAUCGUGGACGCGGGUUCAAUCCCUGGCCUCGCUCAGUGAAUUAAGGAUCUGGCGUUGCUGUGAGCUGUGGUGUAGGUCACAGAUCCCCCAUUGCUGUGGCUGUGUGGUAGGCCAACAGCUGUAGCUCCGAUUUGACCCCUAGCUUGGGCACCUCCGUAUGCCACAAGUGUGGCCC